GACGAACGCUGGCGGCGUGCUUAACACAUGCAAGUCGUGCGGUAAGGCCCUUUCGGGGGUACACGCGCGGCUCACGGAUGAGUAACACGUGCGCAACCUGCCCUCCCCUUUCUGAUAACUGCCUUCAACGGUCUCUAAUUCCGGCUAUUUCUUCCCCCCUCCUGCGUGGUGGUGGUAAGCCUUCGGGUGGUGGGGGAUGGGCUCGCGGUCUAUCAGCUUUUUUGUGGGGUGUUGGCGUACCAAGGCUUCGACGGGUAGCCGGCCUGAGAGGGUGACCGGCCACACUGGGACUGAGACACGGCCCAGACUCCUACGGGAGGCAGCAGUGGGGAAUAUUGGACAAUGGGCGAAAGCCUGAUCCAGCAACGCCGCGUGAGGGAUGACGGCCUUCGGGUUGUAAACCGCUUUCGCCUGCGACGAAGCGAGAGUGACGGUAGCAGGUAAAGAAGCACCGGCCAACUACGUG
This 466-nucleotide ribosomal RNA is filed under the name uncultured bacterium. RNAcentral's name for it is "partial 16S ribosomal RNA". It matches the Rfam family "Bacterial small subunit ribosomal RNA", at positions 28 to 507 of the family's 1533-position model. The record is from RNAcentral.